Molecule: long non-coding RNA, 1298 nt
Organism: Anguilla rostrata (American eel)
Lineage: Eukaryota; Metazoa; Chordata; Actinopteri; Anguilliformes; Anguillidae
Exons: 2
Source: RefSeq, a predicted model, not a curated record
UAAAAAUAUUUGGAUUAUUAUUUCACAUAUAUAAUUUAUUUUGGGUGAAAUGCUUAAAAAUUUAAUAUUUAUGGAAUAUUGUGCAGGACCACCUAUAGAGUCAAUUAAAAUUUAUAUUUCUAGUUAUUUUUCCUUGCAAUUUAUGCACAACUGUUUCCUCCUCAGUCAUCUCUAAAUUCUGACAGAAGAAACUGUGACCCAGUCUGUCUCCUUUCCACAGCCCUGCCUAAGGCCACUCUGAUCGUGAAGCCAAAAUGGCGCCCACUGUACAAUGGAGAGACCGUCACACUGAGCUGUGAGGUGGACUCCUACAGCAACUGGACACAUUUCUGGUACAGAGACCAUAACCAGACAGCCACAUCUCUCUCUAAAGAGUACAGUGUAAACAUCACUGGGGCUGCUGGGUCUGACCAGGGGCAGUACUGGUGUGAGGGGAGGCUGGAGGGGAGAAAUGUGACAUCACAGCGCAGCGACUCCAUCACUCUGACUGUUGCAGGGUCGCCUAAUGAAGCAGCUGUCAAAUUCACUGAAGAGAAUGUGGAAGCUGACUAAUAAAACCUUCACACAGAAGCUGGAUCAGUGUGCUCAUGUCAAAUGAAGAACAUUUGAGAGCUCAGGAUUAUUUUUCAAUGUGAUGCUUCUCAGCUUGCAGGAGGGGAAAUCCUGAUUGGGGGUGCAGUUAUGGGGACACUCAGUGAGUUUUGGGGAUGAAGCAGUCGUGCCUUUAGGGUGCAGGAUCUGAAUAAUAUAUCUGAGGUUCUGAUUCACCAGAGCUGCACUUGUGAUCUUUGUCUAAGUUAGUCAGCUUUGAUUGCUGUAUGUUUGUUUCAGGUCCUACAUUGAACUUUAUAUAUUAUGUAGUAAACUCGCCGCAAGCUUACAUACAGCCUAAACAGCUGAGACUCUGCAACAUACUCAAUAUGCAUUUCAUGUGUCUGCUUUUAUUAGUAUUACAUUAAAUGGAAUUUAAAGUGUGUUCUUUUUCUUCCUUCUUUAUUUUGUUAACAUAAGAAAUAAAUGAAAAUAAUAAACGUGUAAUGUAACAUCCCCAGCAGGUCAGUUAUAGCAUCUUCCACUGUGGUGAACAACACAAUCUAAUCCAAGUGUGAGAAGGAGAAACUGAGCAGGAAUGGUGAGCUGAAUGUGGAGAGAGAAGCUGAUUGUUUUUUUAAAUAUUAUUUUUAUAUAAUAAUACUUCUACUGUAAUAACAAUGUUACCAGUCAUAACUUUCUUGUGUUCAUUCUUUGUGGUGAUGAAUCGUGACAAAUCAAUAUUAAUAAAUAUGUAGGCUAAAGCU